UUAAUACUUUUUUUAGUAAAGGAACAAAAUCUAGUUGUACUUGUUGGUAUACCAUCAGACGAACAUAUUAAUUAGAUGGCAUCCUAAAAGCUCUUUUAUCUUUUAAUUGAAAAUCUUAAAAGUUCUUUCCCUCCAUCAAUAAGUAGGACACAACUAUAACCCGUUAACCACAAUUAUUAGAGGCUAAGGUAACAUAACCAUAUGAUGCUAGAUCUCAAAUGAAAAAAUAAGUCAGAUACUACUGGCUAAUAUAGCAAGCAGUAUCGAUACCUACCAAUUUGAUUGGAGACAUUGCAAGCUCCCUGCCUCUUCAAUGAGGCUACUUUUGCUCUCUAAAAUCUCAAUGAGAUCCUUAAGAACACUAAACUCAAGUGACAUGGAAUUUGCAUCAUGGAAUCUGCAAAUAAAAUUCGUAAUAUAAAUAUCUCUGUUAGUAUCAAACACCAAAAUGCAAAUAUAAAAUAGUAAACUAAACUACAAAUUGAUCUUCCAAGAAACAUAAAAUCAGUGAUCAAACAGCCAAUUUAUAAGUUUCUUAUGCCAUUUCAAGUAGUAAACUACAAAUUGAUCUUCCAUCUAGAUAUAAUUAGUAUCAAACAGAAGAUACAAAUUCUGAUCCCAUGAAAAAAGGCUACAACAUACACUAACUAACCCAACAGCAAAGAAAAUUAUGGUGGCAAAUAUUCAGUAGAAGGCAUUUUUGUUUAAAGGAAAACACAUGUUCUAUAUGGGUUAGUGCAAAAAAAUUCUCUUUCACUAACCCAACAGCAAAAAAAAUUAUGGUGGCAAAUAUUCAGUAGAAGGCAUUUUUGUUUAAAGGAAAACACAUGUUCUAUAUGGGUUAGUGCAAAAAAAAUUCUCUUUCAUAAAUCUAUUUUAUCUUUCAGUUUUUUAAUUUAUGAGCAAAAAAUUAUUCACGCUAAAAUAGAAUAUGAUAAAUACUCGAUCACACUAAAAUAAAACAGUAGAAACAUCACAUAAUAUUUUUCAGUAUCUCUUACAAAAUUGAGAUGUUGUGAGAAGCUUAAUGACAAAGGGAGCACAAUUUAAAAAACUGGUGGCAGACUAACUCAUGAUGUGAGAAGCAUCACAUAAGUUGUACCUUUCACACCAUCAACUAUUUUUACAAGUCUUUCUUCUAAUUAUUAUAGCUACAAAAACAAAACGUGUCCUAAAUUACUAAUUAAAAAGAUUUUACAAUUGUCUUCAAAUUGCAUUAUCCAACAAUAAUUAGAAGAAAGACUUGUUAAAGGUACAACAUAUUGCAGCUUAAUGCAUUGCAAUAUAUUUGGGGUGACUAUCAAGUGCUUCAACUUGAUCAAGUGCUUCAAGUUGAUGAACACUGAGUGUAGCUGCACGAAACUCAUCAAAAUCCAUCCUUCUAUAUUGCAAUGCAUUAAGCUCUAACCCAAAUUCAUUUUAAUCAGCGAGCACUAUUGGUGCAAAUGCUAUUUAUAUAUUGUAUGGAAGUAUUGGUACAGUUAAAUCAUAGAACUUACUGAUCCAAAAAAGUCAAUAGUGUGCGACUCCAUAGCAUUAGUUGCGUUUUUCAUCGAGGCCUGACCAUGUCAGAUUUGUGAGAUGGCAAACACAAUCAUCUUAACCAAUUGAUUUGNNNNNNNNNNNNNNNNNNNNNNNNNNNNNNNNNNNNNNNNNNNNNNNNNNNNNNNNNNNNNNNNNNNNNNNNNNNNNNNNNNNNNNNNNNNNNNNNNNNNNNNNNNNNNNNNNNNNNNNNNNNNNNNNNNNNNNNNNNNNNNNNNNNNNNNNNNNNNNGGGAAAGAGAGAAAGAGAGAGAUAAAAGAAAUCAAGUAAUGAUCUGAUUUUUAAAAUAUGCAUUUAAACGUUACACAACUAACCUCAAAUGGAUAACUCUGCAUAAUGCCGAUUGAUAGGUAAAUGGACACAGUUCUACGGAUCCAACAGCGGCGGUGGAAUCCAUCACCACUGUCGCCUCAUUUCUCUUCUUUUCUCUAUUGAUCUGGCAUCCUUCUCUGUGACCGUCCCUGUCGUCGCCACCCUCUUCUCCUUCUUCCAUCGUUCUUUGUUUCUUCACCAUUGUUGUUUUCUUCUUCUCUUCUCUGCGACAUCGAAAGAGGAAGUCUUUCCCUCAUAUGGUGCCAACUACUCCCCCUUUCAAAACUUGCAGCGCGCUCUCUCAUAUCUUCUCUUCUUGUUAACAAUAAAAAUGCAGCUGCAAGUCCUGGAAUAAAACCAUUUCCAAUUUGAAUUUGAAUCAAAAUCCCGUCCAAUUACUUGUUUAUUUGAGAACUGCCAGGUUCCUAAUUUUAAGAGCAAAUACUCUAUUUCAGUCUUGAAUUUUUGUCGAGUCUUUGAUUUAUUCUUGAAUUUCCAACUGCAAUAAAUAAAACAUACUGUUUUUGACUAUACACAUGCAUAUUUGUGUCAUUAUAAUAAUUUUAAGCAUCAACUGUAUUUUUAAAACAAACAAAUAAAAAACAAAAAUAAUGAACACCAAAAAAGGAAACAUUAUUAAUUAGAUGGCAUCCUAAACAAAAUGAUGUAAUUAUAGCAGCAUUUGUCACACAAUUCAUAUAUAAACUCCAUAUGUCCACAACAUGUAAUGAUUUAAAAUUGAGGCUAAUAAUUCAAUCAUUUCCAUUUAGAGAUAGAAAAGAAUAGCAUAUUUCCAACUGAACUUCUCUAGUACUGAUUAUAUCAAAGGUUCACAAUUUAAUUUAGUAUUGAAAGAAAGAUCUUUAGUUGUAGUUGAGAAAGAAAGAAUAUGAAGUUUAUCUCCUAAAGCAGCAAAAUGAAAAUCAUUAUGGUUACUUCCAAAAUCUUCAAUGGCAGUAGCGAACGCCACGUCCCUUUCAUAUAUGCCUCCUAAUCCUUUCUAAAAACUUAAAAAAAUAUCAAUAUUUAAUCAGAGAAUAAAUUUAUAAAAUAUCAAUAAAUUUGAUAAUUUGGAGUUUGGACACUAAUUAAUACUUCAUUUAUUCAUUUUUUUAUCACUUUGCAUUAAAAAUCUUAGAAUCACUAAUGAAGAGAAACAAUUAGAAUAAUUUUCAAUACUUUUAUAAAUUAAAAGCAUAAUGAUACUUCAACAAUAAAUUAAAAGCAUAAUUCUUUCUCAUGACCUGUGAAGAGUACAAUUAGACUAUCAAUUUGCAGACCAAGCACAUACUUAGAGAAAAAGACCAAUAUCCCAUGGAAAACGAAGCCAUUCCAAUUUCAUUAUACAUGCAUAUUAAGGAGAAGCUACCAGAAAUACCUCUUCCAUGGUAGUGGCAAUAUUAAGUCUCUGUGCAAUUCACUGAGAACAAUUUCAGCAGCUUGAUCAGCAUCAUUUGGAUUUUCAAUAGCCACCGCCUUAAGUGUUCUGGUAUGAACAAAAAUUCUUUAAAAUGAUGGGCCAGAGUGUUCAUUUUGGAAUCCGGCCAGAGUGUUCAUUUUGGAAUCCUGAAAGAGACAUACUUACAUGAUGGUCGCAUGCACAGAUUAAUGCACACAAAAAUACUUAGGAAUUUGGCAAUCAUAGGCUAAAAGAACUCUUUCAAGCUUGUUUUCAUGUAAAUGGAAACAACCAAUGUUAGUUUCUGAAAAUUUGGAAGGGAACCAAUCACAGUAUUAACCAACUAAUAUCAGAAAUUGUUCAGGUGAAAUUAGUAGUCUUUUGUAAGGAUUUUGAGGUGAAAAUCUCAACAUAUAAAGCUACUCAUUUAUCUAAAAACAUGCAGUUACUGUCUGUUUAACAUGCAUAUAGAAUGUCCAUCACUUAAUAAUAUUUCCUUUUUUUUAAUUAGUUAAUUAUUUAAUUAUUUGAAUGUAUUCAAUCCACAAUUGAAAAUUUGCAGCUAGAAUACAGAAUAAAUAACACCAGAUCACAGAGUGGCAAUUAUUAUACUUAAAAUCCAACAAUAGAUUACCAUAAUUCAAUUAUAUUUUCAAAUUUUAAAGGUAAAGAGCAAUACCUGGGGGAAUAUAUCUUGCAAGCAAGCUCCAAUACACCGAAUUGAAACCCAUUAUCAACGAAAAUUAUCUAUAAAGUUUAUUUUUAAAAAAAAAAAGUGGGUUAAACAUAAUGAAGAGGAGAAUCAUUUUAAUAACGAUAAUAGAAUCAUGUGAUCAUGAAGUUACAGAUAGAGAUACACAAAAUACACAAAAAAUAAGUGGUCAAAACCCCAAUGAUUGCAAGAUUACAGUACACAAUUUAUUCAAAUCAUCAAUGUGCAAAAUUCACUCAUAAAUCCUAAAAAAAAAAUCUCUUCCUCGCAAAAAACGACCAUGCAGAUAAAAAAUGCAGAAGACAGAAUAAAAAGAGCAUAUUUUUCCCAUAAAUUGAGAAGUUCUUUUAUCUUUUAAUUGAAAAUCUUAAAAGUUCUUUUCCUCCAUCAAUAAGUAGGACACAACUAUAACCUGUUAACCACAAUUAUUAGGAAGCUAAGGUAACAUAACCAUAUGAUGCUAGAUCUACAGUUUAUAAUUUAACCAACCAAUAAAGCAAGCAAACAACAUAACCAUAUGCAACGGUCUCAGCAACAAAAACAACA
This 4511-nucleotide long non-coding RNA is filed under the name Arachis ipaensis. RNAcentral's name for it is "long non-coding RNA (AIPA_LNC001678)". The record is from RNAcentral. Lineage: Eukaryota; Viridiplantae; Streptophyta; Magnoliopsida; Fabales; Fabaceae.